Non-coding RNA from Paramuricea clavata, 2960 nucleotides. The record is from the annotation of a GenBank genome assembly. NCBI's taxonomy places the organism in Eukaryota, Metazoa, Cnidaria, Anthozoa, Malacalcyonacea, Plexauridae.
CGUUUAUAACGUGAAUUCCAACAUCUUGUUCACCGAAUUAUGAGGUGUUUUCUGGAUUGAAGAAGAUGUUACCAAAGUGUUAUCAGUUUGUAAUAGUGGUAUGGAUUUUCCUCUCACUACAAGGUACGUUUUAUGUCGUUGAUAACACGUAUUUCAAAUGUACAGCGCUACUGUACUUAUUUGUCUAAUAAUAGCGAUAAGAUAAGAUAAGAUAACAUAAUUUAAUACUCUGAGGUGAUACAAUAAUUUACAACAAAAAAAUACAUUACACAAAUAUAGAGUAAAGGCUACAAAGAAAUAACCAUAAGGGCUAAUCAAGCUAAGUAGCACAAUCGGUUCCCUUGCGGUUCCAUAGCUGUAAUGACUAUAUCUCAAAACUACUAAAACUACAGCCUUAAUGUGAAGGAUUCGAUUAAACUCCACAGGCACUAAUUAUUCCAAACUCUGCCGUUGUCGGAGCGAAGUUAAAUUUAUGAGGAAUGGAUCAGAAUAACUGCUUGCAAUAAACAAUGUACUGUACAGAGCGACUAAAUAGUCAACCAGUUUAGUUAAUUAGCUUGCUUUAUCUUGAUGCAUGUUGCAUUAGCUUGAUGCAUGAGAUUUUAAGAUUUCGUAAAAUACUCAAUUUAAGCAAAGCUAUAAAUUGCGGUUAUUGAGCGCCGCGGCGCUCUUUAAAUUUUCAGAGCUUCAGAUGCGGCGCUCAAUCGGGGGCGGCGCUCUUUAAAAACAUCUUUUAUUUGUGAAUUAUAUCACUGAACUUUUAACAAUAAAAUAAACAAGUUUUGAAUGUCUUUGUGACUAAAUGUCCCCAUUUGACGGUGGAAAAUUAUUACACUGUUUAGUGCGGCGCUCAUCCGGGGGCGGCGCUCUUUAAAAAAAUUUGAUCUCAAAUGCGGCGCUCAUUCGAGGGCGGCGCUCAAUCGGGGGCGGCGCUGAAUCGGGGGCGGCGCUCAAACGAGUAAAUACGGUAAUGAUAAUAUGUUCUAGAAGACUCCAUUUGCUCGAGGGUGUUUUCAGUCUGCCAACGCAUCUGCGUCACAACAAUCCAUACAUUACAACACUUCCCUGCCAGUAUAUAAUUAUUUAUUGCAUUUCUUCACACAAGUGGGUUACAAAUCUACGAGUAACAUGCUUAGCUUUAUACAGGAAUAUUGAUUUUUCUAAUUAACAGUCCUUACAACACACCAUCUAGAGACGCACUUCACCACGUGAAGCGCAAUCACUGCUCAUUCAGGUCGCACUGAAGACCUGAAUGAGCAGACCUAGAGACUCGAUGUGGUCAGUCAGGUUAUCAGUUGCUGCCCGGGUAAUCUGCCCUAUAUCAAUAGUUGUUCACCAGUCCAACUAGGUCUCAAUGUCGACGGCCUGACGGAUCUGAACGGGGGUUCGCCUGUUCCCCUGUUAUCUAGAGGUCCGCCUGUUCCUCUAGAACAACCUACAGUUUUUGCAUGUAUCCUCAGCCAGCUUUGAGUACCCUGGGUAAUGUGCCCUAUACCAAUAGUUGUUCACCAGUCCAACUAGGUUUCAACUCGCUGAACGACAGGCACAGAGUCAACGGCAUGCCCUCUGGAGUCCAGAGAUUCGCCUGUUUCUCUAGAUAAAACUUAGAUUACCGAGAGCCUCUAGACAGUUCGGCCGGAACUGUUUUCGAGCACUUCUCUGCCCAAAAUAUAUGCCACGAAAAUGUGUUCCAAGUUAUUGUUGUCUUGCUUAGUCGCCAGUUGUUCGAUUUUAACUAUAUGUCUCUUUCCAACAUAUUCAACUUCAUUAAUACUGUAAUUUAACCACUAUAGACAACAAAGAAACAUUUAGGAAUGUUUGAUAUUGGUUAUCCAUGCAAUUUCAAAAGCAUGUCAAAGACACUAUACCAUCAACACACGUAAAACGCACAAGAAACAAGCUGUCGACAAGUUGUGUUUCCACUGCUUGUCCCCAGUUGUUGUAACAAGUUUGGAACAAGCUGUUAACAACAAGUCUAAUGCAGUCAUGAUAUAACAAGAAUGUUACAAGGUUGCCGGAGACGGCUUGUUGGCAGACUUGCUACAAGAUGUGAGAUUUUUGCGUGUGUAAACACAAGCACACAGAAGCGCAACAGGAGUCCAUUAUUUACUGCGUUAUUUAUUUUUAUUUUUGUUUUUCUGUUUCAGGCGCUGCUUGUUUCUUCGUGAAACAUGUGCAGUCAGGGAUGUGUAUUCAUGUCACAAGUGUACUACAGACGAACGAGUCUUGGGGAAGCUUAACUUUUGUGGAACUUUCCAACAACUGUCUGGAUCCAGCUGCUCAGUCUCGGUUUCUUGAUAAUAGUGCCAUGUUCAAUUUGGAAAGAAAGGGAUGUUUCGAGGGAACAGUUAGGAGUGAUUUUGGUUAUUAUCUUCCUAUGUUGUAUUUGUUCGUUGCUACAGAUCCUUCAGCUAAUUGUCGUGAUAAGGACCAUGCUAUAACCCAGACCUCUUGGGGAGGUUUAUCUGUAUAUGAAGUACGUCGUAAAGGGACGCGAUGUGCAGUCCCUGGUAAAGAUGAUCGACUUGCUACAAACCCAGGAAUAGAUCCCUACAUCGCAUUGACGAAAGAUUGUAACGAUGCAGAGGAUAAACGUUUUAAUUUUGGUAAGUUGUUUUUAUUUGUAUGCAGUUAAUUUGUUUUAUGCCUUUGCACAGUAAAAGUUCUUAUUUGUGGUUUUGCAGUUUGCUUUUCAUAUUUACUUAUUAAAUUUCUCACGUACCCACAAUUGCCGUUAAGCUAGUCUAGAGGAUAAACGGAAACCACUUGUAUUCAAACUUAGCUGUAUAUAGUAAAUGAUCUCAACAUUACUUUAUUUUACUUUAUUUUCAUUUAGUGCUCGUCAUUUCUAAGUUUUUGUUCUGUUCCAGGUUCAGUGACGUGUCAUGGAAAUAUGGUAGAGAAUGCCAACUGUCCUAAAGAUCAGUACAUGGUGGUCAAGAAUGCAUCUUACCGUGGAU